Molecule: non-coding RNA, 77 nt
Organism: Desmophyllum pertusum
Lineage: Eukaryota; Metazoa; Cnidaria; Anthozoa; Scleractinia; Caryophylliidae
Source: the annotation of a GenBank genome assembly
UCUCCUGUAGCUCAGUGGUAGAGUGCCUGACGCGUGUGCAGAAGGUCAUAGGACAGGUUCGACUUCUGUGGGAUGAA